This 331-nucleotide unclassified non-coding RNA is filed under the name uncultured Hypocreales. Its description in RNAcentral is "sequence contains ITS1". The stretch from base 1 to 105 matches the Rfam family "5.8S ribosomal RNA", at positions 50 to 154 of the family's 154-position model. Lineage: Eukaryota; Fungi; Ascomycota; Sordariomycetes; Hypocreales. The record is from RNAcentral.
GAAAUGCGAUAAGUAAUGCGAAUUGCAGAAUUCAGUGAAUCAUCGAAUCUUUGAACGCACAUUGCGCCCCCCAGUACUCUGGGAGGCACGCCUGUCUGAGCGUCAUUUCAACCCUCGCGCCCCGCGGCCUCUGUGUCCGGGCGCGGUGUUGGGGAUCGGCCGCCUGCCCAGCGGGAGGCCGGCCCCUAAAUCUAGUGGCGACCACGCCGUAGCCUCCUCCGCGUAGUAGUUCACACACCUCGCGGGCGGAGAGCGGCGCGGCCCUGCCGUAAAACACCCAUCAUUUCACAAGGUUGACCUCAGAUCAGGUGGGAAUACCCGCUGAACUUAA